Long non-coding RNA from Ostrinia nubilalis (European corn borer), 386 nucleotides. RefSeq lists it as uncharacterized. The record is from RefSeq and is a predicted model, not a curated record. The transcript has 3 exons. NCBI's taxonomy places the organism in Eukaryota, Metazoa, Arthropoda, Insecta, Lepidoptera, Crambidae.
CCGCGAACGACAGAGCGAGAGCGGCAACUUUGCACUCUUCAUUUGUGCACCAAUCGAGAAAAAAUUCAAUAAAGCUCGCUUCCAUUUGUCUAAUUGCCUAUGUAAACCUACGUAUAACUGCGAUUGUUCGAUCCCGCGAUACUCCACGGAGAAAAUGGGGCUUCUCUUGGUUGUUUCGUCUUGUGGGAAUGAAGUUUUGAGAAAUGCCGGGGCACGGCGUGUCUCAAGUGAAGUGUGAGCCGCAGUCGGACGAGGAAGACAGCAAUUCGCAGUACUCGCUCGGCUACUUGACCAAUCAGCUACCUUUAAGGCAUUGUCCAAUUAAAUUAGAAAAUGGUGUCCACCACGAAAAUAAUAAUUCAGGCCACAUUUUACAAGACUUGCAG